UACGUAGGGUGCAAGCGUUAAUCGGAAUUACUGGGCGUAAAGCGUGCGCAGGCGGUUGUGCAAGACAGAUGUGAAAUCCCCGGGCUCAACCUGGGAACUGCAUUUGUGACUGCACGGCUGGAGUGCGGCAGAGGGGGAUGGAAUUCCGCGUGUAGCAGUGAAAUGCGUAGAGAUGUGGAGGAACACCGAUGGCGAAGGCAGCCUCCUGGGCCAGCACUGACGCUCAUGCACGAAAGCGUGGGGAGCAAACAGG
This 253-nucleotide ribosomal RNA is filed under the name uncultured bacterium. RNAcentral's name for it is "partial 16S ribosomal RNA". It matches the Rfam family "Bacterial small subunit ribosomal RNA", at positions 524 to 776 of the family's 1533-position model. The record is from RNAcentral.